Molecule: ribosomal RNA, 253 nt
Filed under: uncultured bacterium
Lineage: Bacteria
Description: partial 16S ribosomal RNA
Rfam family: Bacterial small subunit ribosomal RNA
Source: RNAcentral
UACGGGGGGGGCAAGCGUUGUUCGGAAUUACUGGGCGUAAAGGGCGUGUAGGCGGCCAACUAAGUCCGACGUGAAAUCCCCAGGCUUAACCUGGGAACUGCGUCGGAUACUGGAUGGCUUGAAUCCGGGAGAGGGAUGCAGAAUUCCAGGUGUAGCGGUGAAAUGCGUAGAUAUCGAGAGGAACACCAGUGGCGAAGGCGAGUCUCUGGACGACUCCUGACACUGAGGCACGAAAGCUAGGGGAGCAAACAGG